This 4562-nucleotide long non-coding RNA is filed under the name Podarcis lilfordi (Lilford's wall lizard). The record is from RNAcentral. Lineage: Eukaryota; Metazoa; Chordata; Lepidosauria; Squamata; Lacertidae.
GGCCGAGGCGCGCAUUCGCCGCCGCCGCGUUGCAGGAGGGCAGGGCGGAGGCGGAACGGGAAGAUCCCUUGCAGCCCGCUGCUGGCGGCUCUUGCCUUCUACCUCGUGGGAAGCCCGUCCUCUUCCUUCGAGCCAGAGCUCCAGGCGCGGAGACCCCCGCUCGAGGAGAGGGGAGGCCGGGCUGGCGCGCCCCCGUGGCCACGCCAGGAUGCAGCUGCGCGGUCACGGCGCGCCGAGCGAACCCGGGAGGGGAUGUGGGUGGGGCAGAGACCGGGUUUCUCUGCUCCAGUUCCUGAACGGCGCGAGUAGCCCUUUGCACUGAUUCGGGAAUUUAGCGACGGCCCCUUGCCUGGCGAAAAGUGGGUUUGUUAUGGUCUCUCGCUGGGCGCCUGGAACAGCCUGACGCUGCAAACCGGAGCAGGUCUCCCCGAGCAAGUGUGCCGUUGAUCUGGAGAGGGGAGACGCCGGGAAAAGCUGGCCCCAAAAAGUGUCUCCGGCGGCCGUCCUUCGGGAAAGCGUCCUUCGAUUUCACGCCGGAGCAGGCGGGAGGGGAAAGCAAGAUCUCGGCUACCUUUUUUUACCCCAGGUAGGGGAGCAAUUCUUUUGCAGCAUGGUCCUUUCUAAUUUUUUGCACGACUUCUGUGACCGGGGACUGCAGCGUCUCGUGAAGAUGCGCGCAGAGCAGCCCGCCUCGGGUGGUGGAGAUCCCAGAGGGGUUGGAGGAAGAAGGGAAGGGUUGUGUGCGCAUAUAUUUCCAAAUCACGAGGCAGGAAUGGCUUGGGAGGCCGUCAGGAUCCGUAGGAAACCACCACCACCGACCUAAGCUAGCCAUAGGGAUGUAUCUCCUUAGGGUCCGCGUUGCUGUGGCGAGAGAUUCCCAUGGGAAUGGAGAGGAGGGGCUUUGCGCUGGGUGCGGGGGUGGUUUGCCUGCCUGCAAUGAUCUGAGGAGCAGACUGGGGGAAUCUCCUUUGCUCGCGGACCCUGCUUAGGCUGGCAAGCAGCGGCGAAGAUGGUGUUGUAGUUGUAGGGUAGGAAGCCUGAAGAAAACCCCAACCAAAGAGUAGGGCCUUUGGGCCUUGUUUUCGGUCUGGUGGCGACAUCUGUACAGCCACAGUCGGAAACAGGAUGGGCACCACAGAAAGGGCAUGGAAAUAAAAGCAGCUUCAGAAAGGAAAGAGAUGCACAUGUGUAUGGUUUUAAAAUAGAAUAAAAUGUGAGUGGGCCUAGUUGCUCCUUUAUUGGAAUUGUGGGGUUAGCCUUGUGCUGACUAUUGAUGAAAGAAUGAAAACCUUGCCACUUGCAUAAGUUUGGCAGAGUGAUCUUAAACUACAAUUUCUAAAUGGUAAUAGAUUCUGUGCCAGCUGUCUACAUAUUUAUGAGGCACCUGUGCUGAAAUUUGAGGCUUAAAGCUGCAGUCCCACGUACCUGGGAGAACGUCCAAUUUAACUCAGUGGGACAUACUUCUGAAUAAAUGGCUUACACCCAAAUGUCUGAAAGAAUGCCGCCUCUGUGGGUGUCAAGAUCAGCAGUGGGGGCGGGUUGGGGGCACUGCCCUCAGGUGUUUGGGGUGUCGGCCCAGGAGAGCAUUCUCGGUGGCAACCCCUAAAUUAUGGAAUUUCCUCCCCACAUUGAUGCGACCAGUGCCUUCAUUAUGUAGGUUGCAAGAAGAUGCACCUCUUACCCUGGCCUUUUGACUCCUGGUAUUAUGUGUGUGUGUGUGUGUGUGUGUGUGAGAGAGAGAGAGAGAGAGAGAGAGAGAUACACUUUAAGACCUACUGCAUUCUUUUGACUGUAAUUUGUUUUGAACUGUUUUUAAUAUUUAAUUUUAAAAUUGCUGCAAACCAUCCUGGGAUGGAUAAGAAAUCUAAUGUGUAAUAAAAUAAAUAAAGACAACAAGAUGUAUAGAAUUGUACUGUAAGCCUCAGGUACUAUUUUGAAGGCAUUGACACAGCCCUGGAGUAUAUUAGUUAGUGAUAGAAAGGGCAAUACUGAGUGCAUUUCUGUCACAAACAGCUAAGUUUCCCCACGUUAGGAGGGGCAAGGCUUCCCAUUAACAGACUAUGCCUUGUAGGCAGGCCUGAUCAUCACCAUCUCCUUUAUCUUCUCUUCUUUUUAAAAAAGAAAGUAAGCACUGACAGAGGCCUAGUUGGGUGUCACCAUUUUUGACUGCAGGUGUUGGGCUUGCACAAUUGAGUGCUCCUCCCUUCAGAAACAAAAAGCAUCUCAGAGGGAAAAGACUCAAAUAGAACCCUUCUCCAUGACUUCUAGUUUUUUGUAUGGAUGGAUUUUUAUUAUUAUUAUUAUUACUAUUUGUAUGGAAGAACAAUCCAACCUGUGAGAACCUCACCUGCCCUCUGUGGUGGUACAGCUCAGACACAAGUUUACCAUAAUGGGAAGAAUUUGACAAAUCUCUACCUAAUCCUGAAGCAUAACUAUUACUGCACUAGUUGGGCUGCAAUACGAUCAAGGACCUUUGCUUUUAUAUGCUGAUUUUUUUUAAAAAUGCACUGACCCAUAGGAGAGGAACUCCCAAAUUAUGAAUUGGGAUCUCCUGCCAGCUGUGGAAACUUUUAGGGAUGGUAGGCUGUGAUCCAGGAAUUUUCAUUUCAGGGACAGUGGUGAGAAGUUAGUUCAGUACGAAGGUAAAAAUUUUCACAGUGGUGACCUAUAAAAGGAAUUUUCAAAACCCACUUUUGAUUUCAGAGCACUUAACACCCUACUGUACUAUGCUUAAAAUACCUGGAACACAUAGGAACCUAUCUUAUAUCGAACCAGGCUAUUUGUCUCUCUAGCUCAGUAUUGCCUUUUUAAUGGAUGGUCACAGGUGCUUUAUUUGAGAUUCCUGCAUUGCAAAGGCUGUGUGGAUUAGAUUCCCCUUGGGAGUCUCAUCCAACUCUAUGAUUCUAUAAUCAUGCGGACACAUAAUGCAUUUUUGAGGGAGUCCUGUGGGCUUCCCUGCCUCUGUUCACUUCUCUCCCUCAAAUCACACACACAUCUGAGAGACAGAAAAAGAGAAAGCACAUGAACACAUAUUUCACUUUUCCAGGAGAUCGGGGUGAAAGUCAGAUCUAGCAGAAUUAAUCUGAGCCUUAAAUAGAACAUGAGAGAUGAAAGAGGAAGUAGGGAAGAGUGCCACUCUUGCAGCUUCCUCCUGCAACUCUAUGCACUUUUCAAGGGAGAAGAAGGUAUCAACCCUCAUCACCUCACAACCAAGAGAGCAGCAAAGGGGAGGGUCCCUCAGAGACUCUGUAGGAGUCAGGAGAAGGUGUCAAGGGUGCAUCUGCAUGCUCACGAGCACAGUGUUGGUGAUCCCUGGCCUGCUCUGACUGGCCGUUCCUCUCCAACAGGCUUAGGCAACCUUCGGCCCUCCAGAUGUUUUGGCCUACAACUCCCAUGAUCCCUAGCUAACAGGACCAGUGUUUAGGGAUGGUGGGAAUUGUAGUCCAAAACAUCUGGAGAGCCAAAGGUUGCCUAUGCCUGCUCUACAAGGACCGAGGCAGGAGUCCUUUCCAUCUUUUAAACUGGAGAAGCCAAGGAUUGAAGUUGGGACUUUCUGCUGAUGCUCAGCUAUUGAUCUACGGCUUUGCCCCUACGAUCACCCUGUUGUUCAUAACUUCUAUAUCCUUCUAUGACGGCCCUAAUCAUAAGUGCUUUGUGAGUGAAUUCUAUGACUGCUGGAACGGGAGUAGCUUCUGCACUGGGCCUGAUGAGCUAAUCAGAAACACAGAGACCAUAAAAACCGCCGAGCUCCUUUAUAGUUUGCUUGCAUAGGGAGCCGGUACUCUCAGAUUGUCAGUAUAUUUUCUCCUGCUGAAGCUUUUUCUAAACUCUUUGGUGAUGUUUGGCCUCUUCCUCACACCCACACCUCUGUAGGAAUCCAUUGAAGUGAACUACGUGGCACCUGCCUUUUCUUAUCACUGCUCUUUAUUCUGGGCCUGUAUUUAUUAUCACACCAAGUGCAUGAACCUUCCUGGAAGAGGAGGAGGGCGUGUCUUGAAUACACAUCUCAGUCUACUGCAGUGCCAUAACCUGUGGCCGCUGGGAAGCUUGGUUCAAGCCACUGGCUUCUGAGAUGCUCCUUGCACAGUGUCAGUCGGCUCGCCGUAGCCACCAGGACUAGAAAUUUCCUCCUUGUUUCUAAAAUGGAAACUACAAUUCUCCACUUGUUCUGGGAUACAACAUGGGUGUUUAAAGAUAUGUAUGUUUGUAGGAAACCAUGGCACACGAGCAGUGAACACAGUUGCUUUCCAGAGUGGUCCUGCUUAAACUCCAGGCCCCUGGGAAAUCUGUGAAAUGAUAUAUAAUGAACUGAAUAAAAUGUUUAAAAUAACUUUAGUAAAAAAAAACAACAACCAGGAGCUUUUCUGUUAGGGAUAGUGAAUAUAGAGAUUCCGAAGGACCCUAAAAAUUUGUUCAUGUAUGCCACAACUGCAGCCAGAAUGGUGUUUGCCCAGAGGUGGAAAGAAGAUGUUAUACCAGCUAAGGAAGUAUGGCUGAUUAAAUUGAUGGAUUGUGCCAAAAUGGCAAAACUGACAGGUGUAAUAAGAAACCAAGAGGGAUUU